Long non-coding RNA from Hydra vulgaris (swiftwater hydra), 1315 nucleotides. RefSeq annotates it as protein UXT homolog. The record is from RefSeq and is a predicted model, not a curated record. Lineage: Eukaryota; Metazoa; Cnidaria; Hydrozoa; Anthoathecata; Hydridae.
AUAUAGUCGCUACAAAGGGGCUCCAAAAUAUUAUGCAAUAAAAAAAACAAUAGAUAUUUAGAUAAAUUUUAUGAAAGUUAUUCUUAUUAAAUCUUAAUUUAUUGUUUUUAUUAUCAGUAAUUGAUCAUCAAUUAUUUUUAAUCUCAAUGACCAGUCAUUUUAAAAAACCCUAAUGUGUUUAUGUAUAUUUUAAACUGUGUUUUGUUCGACUUAAAGCUACAAAUUAAGUUGUGAGUUAUUCCCCAAAACUUACACUCCAAAACUUUUUUAAAAAAAAGGAUAAAAAUUAAAGACCAAGAUUUUUUUUUCUUUUUUUUUUCUUUUAGUAAAUUCAUUUUCAAUGUGGCUGCAGGCAAACACAUUUUAAGUUGGGAAUUACUUAAAAGUAGAAAAAAAAGCUCAAGAAAACAAGAAAUCAGUGAGACAGAAGACUUCAAUAUGUUAUAUUGAGUUGGGAAAACAUUAAGUUUUUUCUAUUGAUUGGACGUCAAAAUCGAUCUAUUUGUUAUCAUUAAGGUUGUCUCGAAAAAAAAAAGGUGGAAAAACGAAUAAAACGACUAUCACAUGCGGAAUUCCCCAGGGAUCAAUUCAAGGACUUUAAUUUACGUUAAUGAUUUAAAUGAUUUUCUAACAUUUUUAGUUUUAUUCGUUGAUGAUUCCGAUGAUAUUCGUCAAUUUUUUCCCUUGAUCAAUUUAAAAAUAAACUUAAAAUAAAAACUUCUGAGAAUUAAACUACUGAAACUUUUAAAUAGAGUUUUUCCGGAACCAACUCUAAUGUCUGAGCUUUUUAUUGACAAUAUCGUUAUUAAAAGAGAAAAAGUUGAAAAGUUUUUAGAAGUGUAUAUUGAUAAAAAUCUAUCUUGGAAAAAUCAUAUUGACAGUACCUCCUCAAAAGUUGCAAAAUCUAAUGGCAUUAUAUAUAAAGCUAGAGACAUAUUAAACAAACAGUAACUAACGCAGCUAUACUAUUCCUUUAUUAAUGCCACAUCAAUUAUGCAAAUACAGUAUGGGGUAGCAAUAAUAAAAAAAAACUUAAAUCUCUUUAUCAUCAUCAUAAACACGCAGCUCGCGCAAUAAACUUUUAAAACCGUUUUACGCCCUCUAAGCCACUUCUGCAGGAAAUGAAAGUCUUAAAUAUUUACCAACUAAACGUAUAUAACAUUUUAUACUUUAUGUUUAAAUGUAAAUAAAACUUAUCUCCUUGUGUAUUUAAAAAUCUUUAUGUAAUAAAACCCAAAAACAAGUAUGAUUUAUGUACUGAUAAUUAUCUUAAUGCCCUUUUUUGUCGGAAUAAGUAUACUCAAUUUUGUAUUUC